ACUACGGGGGGCAGCAGUGGGGAAUCUUGCACAAUGGAGGCAACCCUGAUGCAGCGACGCCGCGUGAGUGAAGAAGUAUUUCGGUCUGUAAAGCUCUAUCAGCAGGGAAGAACAAAGACUGUACCUGACUAAGACGCCCCGACUAACUACGUGCCAGCAGCCGCGGUAAUACGUAGGGGGCAAGCGUGAGCCGGAUUUACUGGGUGUAAAGGGAGCGUAGACGGUGUGGCAAGUCUGAAGUGAAAGCCCAGGGCUGAACCCUGGUACUGCUUUGGAAACUGGUAGACUAGAGUGCUGGAGAGGUGAGUGGAAUUCCGGGUGUCGCGGUGAAAUGCGUAGAUAGUAGGAGGAACACCAGUGGCGAAGGCGGCUUACUGGACAGUAACUGACGUUGAGGCUCGAAAGCGUGGGGAGCAAACAGGAUUAGAUACCCGAGUAGUC
This 441-nucleotide ribosomal RNA is filed under the name uncultured bacterium. RNAcentral's name for it is "partial 16S ribosomal RNA". It matches the Rfam family "Bacterial small subunit ribosomal RNA", at positions 338 to 795 of the family's 1533-position model. The record is from RNAcentral.